ACUACCCUGGCGGCAUGCUUACACAUGCAAGUCGAACGGUACAGGAGCUUGCUCCGCUGACGAGUGGCGAACGGGUGAGUAAUGCGUCGGAACGUGCCGAGUAGUGGGGGAUAACUAUCCGAAAGGAUAGCUAAUACCGCAUACGCUUUGAGAAGGAAAGCAGGGGAUCGUAAGACCUUGCGCUAUUCGAGCGGCCGACGUCUGAUUAGCUAGUUGGUGAGGUAAAGGCUCACCAAGGCAUCGAUCAGUAGCGGGUCUGAGAGGAUGAUCCGCCACACUGGGACUGAGACACGGCCCAGACUCCUACGGGAGGCAGCAGUGGGGAAUUUUGGACAAUGGGCGCAAGCCUGAUCCAGCCAUGCCGCGUGUCUGAAGAAGGCCUUCGGGUUGUAAAGGACUUUUGUCAGGGAGGAAAUCCCUAGCGCUAAUAUCGCUGGGGGAUGACAGUACCUGAAGAAUAAGCACCGGCUAACUACGUGCCAGCAGCCGCGGUAAUACGUAGGGUGCAAGCGUUAAUCGGAAUUACUGGGCGUAAAGCGUGCGCAGGCGGUUGUGUAAGUCUGAUGUGAAAGCCCCGGGCUCAACCUGGGAACUGCAUUGGAGACUGCACAGCUAGAGUGCGUCAGAGGGGGGUAGAAUUCCGCGUGUAGCAGUGAAAUGCGUAGAGAUGCGGAGGAAUACCGAUGGCGAAGG
RNAcentral lists this ribosomal RNA (693 nucleotides) under uncultured Aquitalea sp. RNAcentral's name for it is "bacterial SSU rRNA". It matches the Rfam family "Bacterial small subunit ribosomal RNA", at positions 30 to 721 of the family's 1533-position model. Lineage: Bacteria; Pseudomonadati; Pseudomonadota; Betaproteobacteria; Neisseriales; Chromobacteriaceae. The record is from RNAcentral.